RNAcentral lists this ribosomal RNA (429 nucleotides) under Bacteroidota bacterium. Its description in RNAcentral is "Bacteroidetes bacterium partial 16S ribosomal RNA". It matches the Rfam family "Bacterial small subunit ribosomal RNA", at positions 355 to 776 of the family's 1533-position model. The record is from RNAcentral. Lineage: Bacteria; Pseudomonadati; Bacteroidota.
UAGGGAAUCUUCGGCAAUGGGGGGAACCCUGACCGAGCAACGCCGCGUGAGUGAAGAAGGUUUUCGGAUCGUAAAGCUCUGUUGUUAAGGAAGAACGAGUGUGAGAAUGGAAAGUUCAUGCUGUGACGGUACUUAACCAGAAAGGGACGGCUAACUACGUGCCAGCAGCCGCGGUAAUACGUAGGUCCCGAGCGUUGUCCGGAUUUAUUGGGCGUAAAGCGAGCGCAGGCGGUUAGAAAAGUCUGAAGUGAAAGGCAGUGGCUCAACCAUUGUAGGCUUUGGAAACUGGUUAACUUGAGUGCAGAAGGGGAGAGUGGACUUCCAUGUGUAGCGGUGAAAUGCGUAGAUAUAUGGAGGAACACCGGUGGCGAAAGCGGCUCUCUGGUCUGUAACUGACGCGGAGGCUCGAAAGCGUGGGGAGCGAACAGG